UCAGUGAAAUUGAACUCGCUGUGAAGAUGCAGUGUACCCGCGGCAAGACGGAAAGACCCCGUGAACCUUUACUAUAGCUUGACACUGAACAUUGAGCCUUGAUGUGUAGGAUAGGUGGGAGGCUUUGAAGUGUGGACGCCAGUCUGCAUGGAGCCGACCUUGAAAUACCACCCUUUAAUGUUUGAUGUUCUAACGUUGGCCCGUAAUCCGGGUUGCGGACAGUGUCUGGUGGGUAGUUUGACUGGGGCGGUCUCCUCCUAAAGAGUAACGGAGGAGCACGAAGGUUGGCUAAUCCUGGUCGGACAUCAGGAGGUUAGUGCAAUGGCAUAAGCCAGCUUGACUGCGAGCGUGACGGCGCGAGCAGGUGCGAAAGCAGGUCAUAGUGAUCCGGUGGUUCUGAAUGGAAGGGCCAUCGCUCAACGGAUAAAAGGUACUCCGGGGAUAACAGGCUGAUACCGCCCAAGAGUUCAUAUCGACGGCGGUGUUUGGCACCUCGAUGUCGGCUCAUCACAUCCUGGGGCUGAAGUAGGUCCCAAGGGUAUGGCUGUUCGCCAUUUAAAGUGGUACGCGAGCUGGGUUUAGAACGUCGUGAGACAGUUCGGUCCCUAUCUGCCGUGGGCGCUGGAGAACUGAGGGGGGCUGCUCCUAGUACGAGAGGACCGGAGUGGACGCAUCACUGGUGUUCGGGUUGUCAUGCCAAUGGCACUGCCCGGUAGCUAAAUGCGGAAGAGAUAAGUGCUGAAAGCAUCUAAGCACGAAACUUGCCCCGAGAUGAGUUCUCCCUGACUCCUUGAGAGUCCUGAAGGAACGUUGAAGACGACGACGUUGAUAGGCCG
Molecule: ribosomal RNA, 836 nt
Filed under: Escherichia coli
Lineage: Bacteria; Pseudomonadati; Pseudomonadota; Gammaproteobacteria; Enterobacterales; Enterobacteriaceae
Description: partial 23S ribosomal RNA
Rfam family: Bacterial large subunit ribosomal RNA
Source: RNAcentral